CAUUUGGAAACGAUAUGAAGAUAGUGAAUAUUUUAGAUGAUUGUGGAACCAUACCCCGUUUCAAGUUUAAUCUGGUCAAACUAAGAGAUACAGAACAGCACAUGGACAAUGAUUUGCAAUUGAUAGAUGUAAUUGGUUUAAUUGUAUCUGUUGGUUCACACUUGACAAAAGAUUUGCAACUGAUGAUGGUGAACACUUGCGUCAAACUGUUACAAAAAAUAAUGUUUUGCUAGCCUGUGGU
Coffea arabica (coffee) is the source of this 241-nucleotide long non-coding RNA. RefSeq lists it as uncharacterized. The record is from RefSeq and is a predicted model, not a curated record. Lineage: Eukaryota; Viridiplantae; Streptophyta; Magnoliopsida; Gentianales; Rubiaceae.